Molecule: ribosomal RNA, 1372 nt
Filed under: uncultured bacterium
Lineage: Bacteria
Description: bacterial SSU rRNA
Rfam family: Bacterial small subunit ribosomal RNA
Source: RNAcentral
GAUGAACGCUGGCGGCGUGCCUAAUACAUGCAAGUCGAGCGAACGGACGAGAAGCUUGCUUCUCUGAUGUUAGCGGCGGACGGGUGAGUAACACGUGGAUAACCUACCUAUAAGACUGGGAUAACUUCGGGAAACCGGAGCUAAUACCGGAUAAUAUUUUGAGCCGCAUGGUUCAAAAGUGAAAGACGGUCUUGCUGUCACUUAUAGAUGGAUCCGCGCUGCAUUAGCUAGUUGGUAAGGUAACGGCUUACCAAGGCAACGAUGCAUAGCCGACCUGAGAGGGUGAUCGGCCACACUGGAACUGAGACACGGUCCAGACUCCUACGGGAGGCAGCAGUAGGGAAUCUUCCGCAAUGGGCGAAAGCCUGACGGAGCAACGCCGCGUGAGUGAUGAAGGUCUUCGGAUCGUAAAACUCUGUUAUUAGGGAAGAACAUAUGUGUAAGUAACUGUGCACAUCUUGACGGUACCUAAUCAGAAAGCCACGGCUAACUACGUGCCAGCAGCCGCGGUAAUACGUAGGUGGCAAGCGUUAUCCGGAAUUAUUGGGCGUAAAGCGCGCGUAGGCGGUUUUUUAAGUCUGAUGUGAAAGCCCACGGCUCAACCGUGGAGGGUCAUUGGAAACUGGAAAACUUGAGUGCAGAAGAGGAAAGUGGAAUUCCAUGUGUAGCGGUGAAAUGCGCAGAGAUAUGGAGGAACACCAGUGGCGAAGGCGACUUUCUGGUCUGUAACUGACGCUGAUGUGCGAAAGCGUGGGGAUCAAACAGGAUUAGAUACCCUGGUAGUCCACGCCGUAAACGAUGAGUGCUAAGUGUUAGGGGGUUUCCGCCCCUUAGUGCUGCAGCUAACGCAUUAAGCACUCCGCCUGGGGAGUACGACCGCAAGGUUGAAACUCAAAGGAAUUGACGGGGACCCGCACAAGCGGUGGAGCAUGUGGUUUAAUUCGAAGCAACGCGAAGAACCUUACCAAAUCUUGACAUCCUUUGACAACUCUAGAGAUAGAGCCUUCCCCUUCGGGGGACAAAGUGACAGGUGGUGCAUGGUUGUCGUCAGCUCGUGUCGUGAGAUGUUGGGUUAAGUCCCGCAACGAGCGCAACCCUUAAGCUUAGUUGCCAUCAUUAAGUUGGGCACUCUAAGUUGACUGCCGGUGACAAACCGGAGGAAGGUGGGGAUGACGUCAAAUCAUCAUGCCCCUUAUGAUUUGGGCUACACACGUGCUACAAUGGACAAUACAAAGGGCAGCGAAACCGCGAGGUCAAGCAAAUCCCAUAAAGUUGUUCUCAGUUCGGAUUGUAGUCUGCAACUCGACUACAUGAAGCUGGAAUCGCUAGUAAUCGUAGAUCAGCAUGCUACGGUGAAUACGUUCCCGGGUCU